GGGCGUAAGAGCUCGUAGGCGGUUUGUCGCGUCUGCUGUGAAAACUGGAGGCUCAACCUCCAGCCUGCAGUGGGUACGGGCAGACUAGAGUGCGGUAGGGGAGAUUGGAAUUCCUGGUGUAGCGGUGGAAUGCGCAGAUAUCAGGAGGAACACCGAUGGCGAAGGCAGAUCUCUGGGCCGUAACUGACGCUGAGGAGCGAAAGGGUGGGGAGCAAACAGGCUUAGAUACCCUGGUAGUCCACCCCGUAAACGUUGGGAACUAGUUGUGGGGACCUUUCCACGGUUUCCGUGACGCAGCUAACGCAUUAAGUUCCCCGCCUGGGGAGUACGGCCGCAAGGCUAAAACUCAAAGGAAUUGACGGGGACCCGCACAAGCGGCGGAGCAUGCGGAUUAAUUCGAUGCAACGCGAAGAACCUUACCAAGGCUUGACAUAUACGAGAACGGGCCAGAAAUGGUCAACUCUUUGGACACUCGUAUACAGGUGGUGCAUGGU
Molecule: ribosomal RNA, 494 nt
Filed under: Microbacterium sp.
Lineage: Bacteria; Bacillati; Actinomycetota; Actinomycetes; Micrococcales; Microbacteriaceae
Description: bacterial SSU rRNA
Rfam family: Bacterial small subunit ribosomal RNA
Source: RNAcentral